RNAcentral lists this unclassified non-coding RNA (426 nucleotides) under Hevea brasiliensis (rubber tree). The record is from RNAcentral. Lineage: Eukaryota; Viridiplantae; Streptophyta; Magnoliopsida; Malpighiales; Euphorbiaceae.
GAUUGUGUGCGGUAUGAUUCUUCAUCAUCACCACUGAAAACCCUAACGCCGGCGGCAGUUUGAUUGUGAGAUCGAAGAUCAGAAAUGGCCAAGUCGAAGAAUCAUACCGCACACAAUCAGUCCUACAAGGCUCACAGGAACGGAAUCAAGAAGCCAAAGAGUCACCGUCACAGCUCCACCAAAGGGAUGGAUCCCAAAUUCUUGAGGAACCAGAGGUAUGCUAGGAAGCACAACAAGAAGAACGGUGAAACUGCCGCAGAAGAAUAGACUUAAGCUUAGAGCAAUAGGGGCUUUCUGGAUUUCUAUUUAUCGCUGUUACUGUUAUCCCAACCUUUGGGUUUUCAAUUUUGUUUGUUAUGGGGAUAUAGUUGCUACUUAUGUGAACUAGUAUUUCAUGAUUUCGUCGAGUAUGAAAACCAAUUUUAC